RNAcentral lists this ribosomal RNA (253 nucleotides) under uncultured bacterium. Its description in RNAcentral is "partial 16S ribosomal RNA". It matches the Rfam family "Bacterial small subunit ribosomal RNA", at positions 524 to 776 of the family's 1533-position model. The record is from RNAcentral.
UACGUAGGGUGCAAGCGUUGUCCGGAAUUAUUGGGCGUAAAGAGCUCGUAGGCGGUCUGUCACGUCGGCUGUGAAAUCCCGAGGCUCAACCUCGGGUCUGCAGUCGAUACGGGCAAACUAGAGUAUUGCAGGGGAGACUGGAAUUCCUGGUGUAGCAGUGAAAUGCGCAGAUAUCAGGAGGAACACCGGUGGCGAAGGCGGGUCUCUGGGCAAUAACUGACGCUGAGGAGCGAAAGCGUGGGGAGCGAACAGG